UAACCUCACCCUUAUAGAACCUCCUCUGAACUUCUAAUUCUCUUUCUUUAGGACCCUUACAAUCCUUGUUAGGAUCAGAUAAGACUUUGUCUUAAAUCCCAAGCCUUGUCCUAAAACUAAGAUAGUUUGUAAGAAAGAAAGGAGAGCAACAGGAGAGAAAUUGGAAACCCCUCUUAGAUUCAUCGGAUACCCAGUGCCCCGACCUAUUUAUAGCCACC
This 218-nucleotide long non-coding RNA is filed under the name Elaeis guineensis (African oil palm). RNAcentral describes it as "long non-coding RNA (EGUI_LNC078050)". Lineage: Eukaryota; Viridiplantae; Streptophyta; Magnoliopsida; Arecales; Arecaceae. The record is from RNAcentral.